This 63-nucleotide transfer RNA is filed under the name Tessaromerus quadriarticulatus. RNAcentral describes it as "tRNA-His". The record is from RNAcentral. Lineage: Eukaryota; Metazoa; Arthropoda; Insecta; Hemiptera; Urostylididae.
AUUUAAUUAGUUUAUUUAGAAUAAUAAUUUGUGGUAUUAUAGGUGUAAUAUUUACUUUAAAUC